Molecule: ribosomal RNA, 253 nt
Filed under: uncultured bacterium
Lineage: Bacteria
Description: partial 16S ribosomal RNA
Rfam family: Bacterial small subunit ribosomal RNA
Source: RNAcentral
UACAGAGGAGCCAAGCGUUGUCCGGAUUGACUGGGCGUAAAGCGCACGCAGGCGGAUGCGCGCGUGGGGUGUGAAAUCUGGCCGCUUAACGGCCAGGCGCCAUCCCAUACGGCGCGUCUGGAGUGAUGCAGAGGUCGAUGGAAUUGCCGGUGUAGUGGUGAAAUGCGCAGAUAUCGGGAGGAACACCCGUAGCGAAGGCGGCACUCUGGGCCGGAACUGACGCUGAGGAGCGAAAGCGUGGGGAGCAAACAGG